GCGNNAUGCAGUCGAGCGGUACAGAAAGUAGCUUGCUACUUUGCUGACGAGCGGCGGACGGGUGAGUAAUGCUUGGGAACAUGCCUUGAGGUGGGGGACAACAGUUGGAAACGACUGCUAAUACCGCAUAAUGUCUACGGACCAAAGGGGGCUUCGGCUCUCGCCUUUAGAUUGGCCCAAGUGGGAUUAGCUAGUUGGUGAGGUAAUGGCUCACCAAGGCGACGAUCCCUAGCUGGUUUGAGAGGAUGAUCAGCCACACUGGGACUGAGACACGGCCCAGACUCCUACNGGAGGCAGCNUUGGGGAAUAUUGCACAAUGGGCGCAAGCCUGAUGCAGCCAUGCCGCGUGUGUGAAGAANGCCUUCCG
RNAcentral lists this ribosomal RNA (367 nucleotides) under Pseudoalteromonas sp. RNAcentral describes it as "bacterial SSU rRNA". It matches the Rfam family "Bacterial small subunit ribosomal RNA", at positions 46 to 421 of the family's 1533-position model. The record is from RNAcentral. Lineage: Bacteria; Pseudomonadati; Pseudomonadota; Gammaproteobacteria; Alteromonadales; Pseudoalteromonadaceae.